CUGUCUAGUAUAGCAAUUAUACAGCGAAACUGCGAAUGGCUCAUUAAAUCAGUUAUCGUUUAUUUGAUAGUACCUUACUACUUGGAUAACCGUGGUAAUUCUAGAGCUAAUACAUGCUAAAAACCCCGACUCACGAAGGGGUGUAUUUAUUAGAUUAAAAACCAAUGCCCUUCGGGGCUCUUUGGUGAUUCAUAAUAACUUUUCGAAUCGCAUGGCCUUGCGCCGGCGAUGGUUCAUUCAAAUUUCUGCCCUAUCAACUUUCGAUGGCAGGGUCUUGGCCUGCCAUGGUUACAACGGGUAACGGAGGGUUAGGGCUCGACCCCGGAGAAGGAGCCUGAGAAACGGCUACUACAUCCAAGGAAGGCAGCAGGCGCGCAAAUUACCCAAUCCCGAUUCGGGGAGGUAGUGACAAUAAAUACUGAUACAGGGCUCUUUUGGGUCUUGUAAUUGGAAUGAGUACAAUUUAAAUCCCUUAACGAGGAACAAUUGGAGGGCAAGUCUGGUGCCAGCAGCCGCGGUAAUUCCAGCUCCAAUAGCGUAUAUUAAAGUUGUUGCAGUUAAAAAGCUCGUAGUUGAACCUUGGGCCUGGCUGGCCGGUCCGCCUCACCGCGUGCACUGGUUCGGCCGGGCCUUUCCCUCUGGGGAACCUCAUGGUCUUCACUGAUCGUGAUGGGGAACCAGGACUUUUACUGUGAAAAAAUUAGAGUGUUCAAAGCAGGCCUAUGCUCGAAUACAUUAGCAUGGAAUAAUAAAAUAGGACGUGUGGUUCUAUUUUGUUGGUUUCUAGGACCGCCGUAAUGAUUAAUAGGGACAGUCGGGGGCAUCAGUAUUCAAUUGUCAGAGGUGAAAUUCUUGGAUUUAUUGAAGACUAAACUACUGCGAAAGCAUUUGCCAAGGAUGUUUUCAUUAAAUCAGG
Molecule: ribosomal RNA, 916 nt
Filed under: Pestalotiopsis adusta
Lineage: Eukaryota; Fungi; Ascomycota; Sordariomycetes; Amphisphaeriales; Sporocadaceae
Description: SSU rRNA
Rfam family: Eukaryotic small subunit ribosomal RNA
Source: RNAcentral